RNAcentral lists this ribosomal RNA (492 nucleotides) under uncultured bacterium. RNAcentral describes it as "partial 16S ribosomal RNA". It matches the Rfam family "Bacterial small subunit ribosomal RNA", at positions 29 to 507 of the family's 1533-position model. The record is from RNAcentral.
AGUGAACGCUGGCGGCAGGCCUAACACAUGCAAGUCGAGCGGCAGCACGGUGAGAGCUCGCGCUUACAGGUGGCGAGGGGCGGGCGAGUGAGAAGUACAUCGCAAGCUACUUUUUCUAGGGUCAUAACGGGGGGACACAUACGCUAAUACCGCAUAUGACGUACGGGUGGGAUCAUUGGAUCUUCCGACCUUUGGCGAUUCUAUGAGCCGAUGGCGGAUUGGCUAGGUGGCGGGGUAACGGCCCACCAAGGCGACGCUGCGUAGCUGGUCUGAGAGGAUGAUCAGCCACACUGGAACUGAGACACGGUCCAGACUCCUACGGGAGGCAGCAGUGGGGAAUAUUGGACAAUGGGCGCAAGCCUGAUCCAGCCAUGCCGCGUGUGUGAAGAAGGUCUUCGGAUUGUAAAGCCCUUUUAUUUGGGAAGAAAAGCAGUAGGUUAAUACCUUGCUGUUUUGACGUUACCCAAAGAAUAAGCACCGGCUAACUUCGUG